Molecule: long non-coding RNA, 270 nt
Filed under: Ananas comosus (pineapple)
Lineage: Eukaryota; Viridiplantae; Streptophyta; Magnoliopsida; Poales; Bromeliaceae
Description: long non-coding RNA (ACOM_LNC044715)
Source: RNAcentral
AAAAAAUAAUUCACUAAGAGAAAAGAUUACAAGGUGAUUACCGACUCGACGGACUCGACCUCUCUUAAUCUUUUACGAAUCUCGCGCAAUCCUCCGGGUUGUCCACGCCCUCACGUUUGAAUCCACGAACGCCUCCACUUUGAAUCCACGAAGCUUCUAAUACGCCGAAUCCACGACGGCACUCGAAUCCACGAGCCAACGAUCUGAAUCCACGAAUCGCCUUCAAUUAUGCCGAAUCCACGACACCGUUCACGAAGAGCAUCAUCCUAU